Long non-coding RNA from Oncorhynchus tshawytscha (Chinook salmon), 839 nucleotides. Lineage: Eukaryota; Metazoa; Chordata; Actinopteri; Salmoniformes; Salmonidae. The record is from Ensembl.
GAGGCGGCAGGUAGACUAGUGGUUAGAGUGUAGAGGAGGCAGGUAGACUAGUGGUUAGAGGAGGCAGGUAGACUAGUGGUUAGAGUGUAGAGGAGGCAGGUAGUCUAGUGGUUAGAGGAGGCAGGUAGCCUAGUGGUUAGAGUAGGCCGUAAUUGUAAAUAAGAAUUUGUUCUUAACGGACUAGUUAAAUACUGGUUAAAUGAAUAAACAUGUAAAGUCUGACUGUGUCCUGGCUCUAGCUGUGGUGUGUUGGGAGCGGUUAGAGUUGGGUUGUCUGCUGGUCGUUGUCUCUCCAUCACUCUCACUGGAGCUCACAAUACGCUGGGCCUUCCGACCAGCACGCCUCAACAAUGGCUUCCUAAAACACACACACAGGUCAGAUAGAGACAGACGGGUCAGAUCGAGACAGACAGACGGGUCAGAUCGAGACAGACAGACGGGUCAGAUAGAGACAGACGGACAAACGGGUCAGAUAGAGACAGACGGGUCAGAUAGAGACAGACAGACGGGUCAGAUAGAGACAGACAGACGGGUCAGAUAGAGACAGACAGACGGGUCAGACAUUUGAAGACCAGAAAGGUAAUGCCACCAGUCUGACCUGGCUGUGUUGUUGCUCUGCUGCUGGGGAGGAGGAGGAGGCGGGACGAUGAAGAUGUUCUCUUCAUCACUGUCCUGCUCUCUCAGACAGGACAGGGCUUUGGUCUUCGCUAGUCGCAGCUCACUACUGAUAUCUGCUGUCCAGGACAGGGCUUUGGUCUUAGCCGGCCGUAGCGCUCUACUGCCAUCUGCUGUACUUCUCUUUCUCCCUCUGGAACAGGGGAAGGGAGGCCGGGAGGAGA